This is a ribosomal RNA of 729 nucleotides. It matches the Rfam family "Eukaryotic small subunit ribosomal RNA", at positions 1046 to 1793 of the family's 1831-position model.
CUAGCGAUCCGCAGGAGUUAGACAUAUGACUCUGCGGGCAGAUUACGGGAAACCAAAGCUUUUUGGUUCCGGGGGAAGUAUGGUUGCAAAUCUGAAACUUAAAGGAAUUGACGGAAGGGCACCACCAGGAGUGGAGCCUGCGGCUUAAUUUGACUCAACGCGGGGAAACUCACCCGGUCCGGACACCGUUAUGAUUGACAGAUUGAUAGCUCUUUCUUGAUUUGGUGGGUGGUGGUGCAUGGCCGUUCUUAGUUGGUGGAGCGAUUUGUCUGGUUAAUUCCGAUAACGAACGAGACUCUAGCCUACUAAACUAGGCAAUGAAUUUGGUUGUUUAUUGAACUUCUUAGAGGGACAAAGGGUGUUUAGCCCUACGAGAUUGAGCAAUAACAGGUCUGUGAUGCCCUUAGAUGUCCGGGGCUGCACGCGCGCUACACUGAAGGAAUCAACGUGCUUGCCUGCCUUGUCCGGAAGGACCGGGUAACCCGUUGAAACUCCUUCGUGCUUGGGAUAGGGACUUGUAAUUAUUUCCCUUAAACGAGGAAUUCCUAGUAAGCGCGGGUCAUCAUCUCGCGUUGAUUACGUCCCUGCCCUUUGUACACACCGCCCGUCGCUACUACCGAUUGGAUGAUUUAGUGAGGCCUUCGGACUGGUAACGCUGUGGUUUCGCGACUACUGUGUAAUUCUGGGAAGAUGGCCAAACUUGAUCAUCUAGAGGAAGUAAAAGUCGUA